RNAcentral lists this ribosomal RNA (2147 nucleotides) under human gut metagenome. RNAcentral describes it as "bacterial LSU rRNA". It matches the Rfam family "Bacterial large subunit ribosomal RNA", at positions 214 to 2381 of the family's 2925-position model. The record is from RNAcentral.
AGGAAGAGAAAGCAAAAGCGAUUGCCUUAGUAGCGGCGAGCGAAACGGCAAGAGGGCAAACCGAAGAGUUUACUCUUCGGGGUUGUAGGACUGCAACGUGGACUUAAAGAUUAUAGAAGAACUACCUGGGAAGGUAGGCCAAAGAGAGUAAUAGCCUCGUAUUCGAAAUAGUCUUUAUACCUAGCAGUAUCCUGAGUACGGCGAGACACGAGAAAUCUCGUCGGAAUCUGGGAGGACCAUCUCCCAACCCUAAAUACUCUCUAGUGACCGAUAGUGAACCAGUACCGUGAGGGAAAGGUGAAAAGCACCCCGGGAGGGGAGUGAAAUAGAACCUGAAACCGUGUGCCUACAACAAGUUCGAGCCCGUUAAUGGGUGAGAGCGUGCCUUUUGUAGAAUGAACCGGCGAGUUACGAUAUGAUGCGAGGUUAAGUUGAAGAGACGGAGCCGUAGGGAAACCGAGUCUUAAUAGGGCGCAUUAGUAUCAUGUCGUAGACCCGAAACCAUGUGACCUACCCAUGAGCAGGUUGAAGGUGAGGUAAAACUCACUGGAGGACCGAACCAGGGCACGUUGAAAAGUGCUUGGAUGACUUGUGGGUAGCGGAGAAAUUCCAAACGAACUUGGAGAUAGCUGGUUCUCUCCGAAAUAGCUUUAGGGCUAGCGUCGAUGUUAAGUCUCUUGGAGGUAGAGCACUGUUUGGGUGAGGGGUCCAUCCCGGAUUACCAAUCUCAGAUAAACUCCGAAUGCCAAUGAGAUAUAAUCGGCAGUCAGACUGCGAGUGCUAAGAUCCGUAGUCGAAAGGGAAACAGCCCAGACCACCAGCUAAGGUCCCAAAAUAUAUGUUAAGUGGAAAAGGAUGUGGGGUUGCACAGACAACUAGGAUGUUAGCUUAGAAGCAGCUAUUCAUUCAAAGAGUGCGUAAUAGCUCACUAGUCGAGUGACCCUGCGCCGAAAAUGUACCGGGGCUAAAACAUAUUACCGAAGCUGUGGAUACCUUUAUAGGUAUGGUAGGAGAGCGUUCUAUGUGCGAAGAAGGUGUACCGUGAGGAGUGCUGGAGCGCAUAGAAGUGAGAAUGCCGGUAUGAGUAGCGAAAGACAGGUGAGAAUCCUGUCCACCGUAAGACUAAGGUUUCCAGGGGAAGGCUCGUCCGCCCUGGGUUAGUCGGGACCUAAGGAGAGACCGAAAGGUGUAUCCGAUGGACAACAGGUUGAUAUUCCUGUACUAGAGUAUAUAGUGAUGGAGGGACGCAGUAGGCUAACUAAACCAGACGAUUGGAAGUGUCUGGCCAAGCAGUGAGGUGUGAUAUGAGUCAAAUGCUUAUAUCUAUAACAUUGAGCUGUGAUGGGGAGCGAAGUUUAGUAGCGAAGUUAGUGAUGUCACACUGCCGAGAAAAGCUUCUAGCGUUAAUUAUACUCUACCCGUACCGCAAACCGACACAGGUAGUCGAGGCGAGUAGCCUCAGGUGAGCGAGAGAACUCUCGUUAAGGAACUCGGCAAAAUGGCCCCGUAACUUCGGGAGAAGGGGCGCUGACUGAUGGUCAGCCGCAGUGAAUAGGCCCAAGCAACUGUUUAUCAAAAACACAGCUCUCUGCUAAAUCGUAAGAUGAUGUAUAGGGGGUGACGCCUGCCCGGUGCUGGAAGGUUAAGAGGAGUGCUUAGCGUAAGCGAAGGUAUGAAUUGAAGCCCCAGUAAACGGCGGCCGUAACUAUAACGGUCCUAAGGUAGCGAAAUUCCUUGUCGGGUAAGUUCCGACCCGCACGAAAGGCGUAAUGAUUUGGGCACUGUCUCAACGAGAGACUCGGUGAAAUUUUAGUACCUGUGAAGAUGCAGGUUACCCGCGACAGGACGGAAAGACCCCAUGGAGCUUUACUGCAGUUUGAUAUUGAGUAUCUGUACCACAUGUACAGGAUAGGUAGGAGCCUAUGACCUCGGGACGCCAGUUUCGAGUGAGGCGUUGUUGGGAUACUACCCUUGUGUUAUGGCUACUCUAACCCAGAUAGGUUAUCCCUAUCGGAGACAGUGUCUGACGGGCAGUUUGACUGGGGCGGUCGCCUCCUAAAAGGUAACGGAGGCGCCCAAAGGUUCCCUCAGAAUGGUUGGAAAUCAUUCGCAGAGUGUAAAGGUAUAAGGGAGCUUGACUGCGAGAG